CCCUUAGAGUUUGAUCCUGGCUCAGGAUGAACGCUGGCGGCGUGCCUAACACAUGCAAGUCGAACGGGGUUAUUUUGGAAAAUCCUUCGGGAUUGGAAUUCUUAACCUAGUGGCGGACGGGUGAGUAACGCGUGAGCAAUCUGCCUUUAAGAGGGGGAUAACAGUCGGAAACGGCUGCUAAUACCGCAUAAAGCAUUGAAUUCGCAUGUUUUCGAUGCCAAAGGAGCAUCCGCUUUUAGAUGAGCUCGCGUCUGAUUAGCUAGUUGGCGGGGUAACGGCCCACCAAGGCGACGAUCAGUAGCCGGACUGAGAGGUUGAACGGCCACAUUGGGACUGAGACACGGCCCAGACUCCUACGGGAGGCAGCAGUGGGGAAUAUUGCGCAAUGGGGGAAACCCUGACGCAGCAACGCCGCGUGAUGAAGAAGGCCUUCGGGUUUAAAGAUCUUUAAUCAGGGACGAAA
RNAcentral lists this ribosomal RNA (463 nucleotides) under uncultured bacterium. RNAcentral's name for it is "bacterial SSU rRNA". It matches the Rfam family "Bacterial small subunit ribosomal RNA", at positions 1 to 450 of the family's 1533-position model. The record is from RNAcentral.